CCCGCUGAACUUAAGCAUAUCAAUAAGCGGAGGAAAAGAAACUAACAAGGAUUCCCCUAGUAACUGCGAGUGAAGCGGGAAAAGCUCAAAUUUAAAAUCUGGCAGUUCUGCUGUCCGAGUUGUAGUUUAGAGAAGUGCUAUCCGCGCUGGCCUGUGCAAAAGUUUCUUGGAAAAGAACAUCAUAGAGGGUGACAAUCCCGUCUUUGGCACAGAUCACCAGGGCUUUUGUGGUGCGCUCUCGACGAGUCGAGUUGUUUGGGAAUGCAGCUCUAAAUGGGUGGUAAAUUCCAUCUAAAGCUAAAUAUUGGCGAGAAACCGAUAGCGAACAAGUACCGUGAGGGAAAGAUGAAAAGAACUUUGAAAAGAGAGUUAAACAGUACGUGAAAUUGUUGAAAGGGAAACGCUUGAAGUCAGUCGCAUCCUUCAGAAAUCAAGCCAACAUUCUGUUGGCCGUACUUUCUGUUUGGAUGGGUCAGCAUCAAUUUCGACCGCUGGAUAAAGUCCUUGGGAAUGUGGCAUCUUCGGAUGUGUUAUAGACCAUGGUCAGAUACAGUGGUUGGGAUUGAGGAACUCAGUGUGCCUUCAUGGUUGGGGCUUCGGCUCACAUAGCACGCUUAGGAUGCUGGCAUAAUGGCUUUAAUCGACCCGUCUUGAAACACGG
RNAcentral lists this ribosomal RNA (661 nucleotides) under uncultured fungus. Its description in RNAcentral is "eukaryotic LSU rRNA". It matches the Rfam family "Eukaryotic large subunit ribosomal RNA", at positions 24 to 664 of the family's 3401-position model. Lineage: Eukaryota; Fungi. The record is from RNAcentral.